AAUGGCCUAACGGCUGAACCAGCAACUUGGAGGAAUGAAUAGCAAUUGCUAAUUGCACAUAUAUAUGAUGCAAUAUCGACUCAGUCGAAUAAAGUUCUGGGUAUAAUUAUGAUAAUGACAUUUAUUACCCAUGUGUCUUGACCAAAUUACGUGCCAGCAGUCGCGGUAAUACGUAGAAGACUAGUGUUAUUCAUCUUUAAUAGGUUUAAAGGGUACCUAGACGGUAGAUAAAGCCCCUGCAUAGCAUAACGGAACUAAUUUACUAGAGUUACUUACGCGGGGGUUUUAAAGUACUAAUGGUGUAGAGAUAAAAUUUUGUAAUACCAUUUUUCGAAAGAAAAGUAUUGGCACUGGUAAAGGCGAAAGCAUCCCCUUAUGUGAUAACUGACGUUGAAGGACGAAGGCUUUGGAUCGCGAAUAGGAUUAGAUACCCUAGUAGUCAAAGCAGACAAUUAUGAGUGUCAUGGAUUAGAAAUUUAAUUUUAUUCCAUAAAUGAAAAUGUAAGCACUCCACCUCAAGAGUAACUUGGCAACAUUGGAACUGAAAUCAUUAGACCGUUUCUGAAACCAGUAGUGAAGUAUGUUGUUUAAUUAGAUAAUCCGCUAAAAACCUUACCACAGCUUGAAUGUUUAUAUAUUUUAUAUAUUCACAAGUGUUGCACGGCUGUCUUCAGUUAAUGUCGUGAGAUUUUGGUUAGAUCCAUUAAAUUAACGCAAGCCCUUACUUUAUUUUUAAAUAAAGUAGUUCCCCAUUAUAUCGGAUAUGAUAACAGGGACUAAGACAAGUCAUCAUGGCCUGAAUGCUGUGGGCUAUAGACGUGCCACAUAGACCUUUACAAAAGGAUGUGAAAUUGCGAAAUUAAACUAAUCCCACAAAACUGGAUAUAACUUUAAU
This 895-nucleotide ribosomal RNA is filed under the name Biatora pontica. RNAcentral describes it as "SSU rRNA". It matches the Rfam family "Bacterial small subunit ribosomal RNA", at positions 370 to 1298 of the family's 1533-position model. The record is from RNAcentral. Lineage: Eukaryota; Fungi; Ascomycota; Lecanoromycetes; Lecanorales; Ramalinaceae.